AAUGUAUUAGUUAAAUUAGAAAAUAAUUUACCUUUAAUAAAAGGAUAUAAGUUUAAAUAUCUUAAUAAUGUAUUA
RNAcentral lists this transfer RNA (75 nucleotides) under Ogataea angusta. RNAcentral describes it as "tRNA-Phe". Lineage: Eukaryota; Fungi; Ascomycota; Pichiomycetes; Pichiales; Pichiaceae. The record is from RNAcentral.